Molecule: ribosomal RNA, 245 nt
Filed under: uncultured bacterium
Lineage: Bacteria
Description: partial small subunit ribosomal RNA
Rfam family: Bacterial small subunit ribosomal RNA
Source: RNAcentral
AGAAUCAACGCUGGCGGCGCGCUUAACACAUGCAAGUCGCACGAGAAAGUGGAGCAAUCCAUGAGUAAAGUGGCGUACGGGUGAGUAACACGUGGAUCAUCUACCUCUUAGUGGGGAAUAACCCUGGGAAACCGGGGCUAAUACCGCAUAAGCCUGUGAAGGGAAAGCAGAAAUGCGCUGAGAGAGGAGUCCGCGGCCGAUUAGCUAGUUGGUAGGGUAAUGGCCUACCAAGGCAAUGAUCGGUA